RNAcentral lists this ribosomal RNA (707 nucleotides) under Serratia sp. SB1. RNAcentral describes it as "bacterial SSU rRNA". It matches the Rfam family "Bacterial small subunit ribosomal RNA", at positions 764 to 1471 of the family's 1533-position model. Lineage: Bacteria; Pseudomonadati; Pseudomonadota; Gammaproteobacteria; Enterobacterales; Yersiniaceae. The record is from RNAcentral.
GGGAGCAAACAGGAUUAGAUACCCUGGUAGUCCACGCCGUAAACGAUGUCGACUUGGAGGYUGUGCCCUUGAGGCGUGGCUUCCGGAGCUAACGCGUUAAGUCGACCGCCUGGGGAGUACGGCCGCAAGGUUAAAACUCAAAUGAAUUGACGGGGGCCCGCACAAGCGGUGGAGCAUGUGGUUUAAUUCGAUGCAACGCGAAGAACCUUACCUACUCUUGACAUCCAGAGAACUUUCCAGAGAUGGWUUGGUGCCUUCGGGAACUCUGAGACAGGUGCUGCAUGGCUGUCGUCAGCUCGUGUUGUGAAAUGUUGGGUUAAGUCCCGCAACGAGCGCAACCCUUAUCCUUUGUUGCCAGCGGUUMGGCCGGGAACUCAAAGGAGACUGCCAGUGAUAAACUGGAGGAAGGUGGGGAUGACGUCAAGUCAUCAUGGCCCUUACGAGUAGGGCUACACACGUGCUACAAUGGCGCAUACAAAGAGAAGCGACCUCGCGAGAGCAAGCGGACCUCAUAAAGUGCGUCGUAGUCCGGAUUGGAGUCUGCAACUCGACUCCAUGAAGUCGGAAUCGCUAGUAAUCGUAGAUCAGAAUGCUACGGUGAAUACGUUCCCGGGCCUUGUACACACCGCCCGUCACACCAUGGGAGUGGGUUGCAAAAGAAGUAGGUAGCUUAACCUUCGGGAGGGCGCUUACCACUUUGUGAUUCA